Molecule: small nuclear RNA, 103 nt
Organism: Antechinus flavipes (yellow-footed antechinus)
Lineage: Eukaryota; Metazoa; Chordata; Mammalia; Dasyuromorphia; Dasyuridae
Source: RefSeq, a predicted model, not a curated record
GUGCUUGAUAAAGUUUUACACAUAGAUUAAAUUUGGAAUGAUACAAAGAAGAUUAGAAUGACCCCUGAGCAAGGAUGACAUGCAAAUUCAUGAAGUUAUUUUU